GAUGAACGCUGGCGGCGUGCUUAACACAUGCAAGUCGAACGGUGAAGGCGGAGCUUGCUCUGCUGGAUCAGUGGCGAACGGGUGAGUAACACGUGAGCAAUCUGCCCCUGACUCUGAGAUAAGCGCUGGAAACGGCGUCUAAUACUGGAUACGAGCUGCGAAGGCAUCUUCAGCAGCUGGAAAGAACUUCGGUCAGGGAUGAGCUCGCGGCCUAUCAGCUUGUUGGUGAGGUAACGGCUCACCAAGGCGUCGACGGGUAGCCGGCCUGAGAGGGUGACCGGCCACACUGGGACUGAGACACGGCCCAGACUCCUACGGGAGGCAGCAGUGGGGAAUAUUGCACAAUGGGCGAAAGCCUGAUGCAGCAACGCCGCGUGAGGGACGACGGCCUUCGGGUUGUAAACCUCUUUUAGCAGGGAAGAAGCGAAAGUGACGGUACCUUCAGAAAAAGCGCCGGCUAACUACGUG
RNAcentral lists this ribosomal RNA (468 nucleotides) under uncultured bacterium. Its description in RNAcentral is "partial 16S ribosomal RNA". It matches the Rfam family "Bacterial small subunit ribosomal RNA", at positions 28 to 507 of the family's 1533-position model. The record is from RNAcentral.